UUAAAUUGAAGAGUUUGAUCAUGGCUCAGAUUGAACGCUGGCGGCAGGCCUAACACAUGCAAGUCGAACGGUAACAGAAAGCAGCUUGCUGCUUUGCUGACGAGUGGCGGACGGGUGAGUAAUGUCUGGGAAACUGCCUGAUGGAGGGGGAUAACUACUGGAAACGGUAGCUAAUACCGCAUAAUGUCGCAAGACCAAAGAGGGGGACCUUCGGGCCUCUUGCCAUCGGAUGUGCCCAGAUGGGAUUAGCUAGUAGGUGGGGUAACGGCUCACCUAGGCGACGAUCCCUAGCUGGUCUGAGAGGAUGACCAGCCACACUGGAACUGAGACACGGUCCAGACUCCUACGGGAGGCAGCAGUGGGGAAUAUUGCACAAUGGGCGCAAGCCUGAUGCAGCCAUGCCGCGUGUAUGAAGAAGGCCUUCGGGUUGUAAAGUACUUUCAGCGGGGAGGAAGGGAGUAAAGUUAAUACCUUUGCUCAUUGACGUUACCCGCAGAAGAAGCACCGGCUAACUCCGUGCCAGCAGCCGCGGUAAUACGGAGGGUGCAAGCGUUAAUCGGAAUUACUGGGCGUAAAGCGCACGCAGGCGGUUUGUUAAGUCAGAUGUGAAAUCCCCGGGCUCAACCUGGGAACUGCAUCUGAUACUGGCAAGCUUGAGUCUCGUAGAGGGGGUAGAAUUCCAGGUGUAGCGGUGAAAUGCGUAGAGAUCUGGAGGAAUACCGGUGGCGAAGGCGGCCCCCUGGACGAAGACUGACGCUCAGGUGCGAAAGCGUGGGGAGCAAACAGGAUUAGAUACCCUGGUAGUCCACGCCGUAAACGAUGUCGACUUGGAGGUUGUGCCCUUGAGGCGUGGCUUCCGGAGCUAACGCGUUAAGUCGACCGCCUGGGGAGUACGGCCGCAAGGUUAAAACUCAAAUGAAUUGACGGGGGCCCGCACAAGCGGUGGAGCAUGUGGUUUAAUUCGAUGCAACGCGAAGAACCUUACCUGGUCUUGACAUCCACAGAACUUUCCAGAGAUGGAUUGGUGCCUUCGGGAACUGUGAGACAGGUGCUGCAUGGCUGUCGUCAGCUCGUGUUGUGAAAUGUUGGGUUAAGUCCCGCAACGAGCGCAACCCUUAUCCUUUGUUGCCAGCGGUCCGGCCGGGAACUCAAAGGAGACUGCCAGUGAUAAACUGGAGGAAGGUGGGGAUGACGUCAAGUCAUCAUGGCCCUUACGACCAGGGCUACACACGUGCUACAAUGGCGCAUACAAAGAGAAGCGACCUCGCGAGAGCAAGCGGACCUCAUAAAGUGCGUCGUAGUCCGGAUUGGAGUCUGCAACUCGACUCCAUGAAGUCGGAAUCGCUAGUAAUCGUGGAUCAGAAUGCCACGGUGAAUACGUUCCCGGGCCUUGUACACACCGCCCGUCACACCAUGGGAGUGGGUUGCAAAAGAAGUAGGUAGCUUAACCUUCGGGAGGGCGCUUACCACUUUGUGAUUCAUGACUGGGGUGAAGUCGUAACAAGGUAACCGUAGGGGAACCUGCGGUUGGAUCACCUCCUUACCUUAAAGAA
Molecule: ribosomal RNA, 1553 nt
Filed under: Escherichia coli
Lineage: Bacteria; Pseudomonadati; Pseudomonadota; Gammaproteobacteria; Enterobacterales; Enterobacteriaceae
Description: 16S ribosomal RNA
Rfam family: Bacterial small subunit ribosomal RNA
Source: RNAcentral